RNAcentral lists this ribosomal RNA (677 nucleotides) under Arthrobacter sp. RNAcentral describes it as "bacterial SSU rRNA". It matches the Rfam family "Bacterial small subunit ribosomal RNA", at positions 331 to 1017 of the family's 1533-position model. The record is from RNAcentral. Lineage: Bacteria; Bacillati; Actinomycetota; Actinomycetes; Micrococcales; Micrococcaceae.
UUUUACUCCUACCGGAGGCAGCAGUGGGGAAUAUUGCACAAUGGGCGCAAGCCUGAUGCAGCGACGCCGCGUGAGGGAUGACGGCCUUCGGGUUGUAAACCUCUUUCAGUAGGGAAGAAGCGAAAGUGACGGUACCUGCAGAAGAAGCGCCGGCUAACUACGUGCCAGCAGCCGCGGUAAUACGUAGGGCGCAAGCGUUAUCCGGAUUUAUUGGGCGUAAAGAGCUCGUAGGCGGUUUGUCGCGUCUGCCGUGAAAGUCCGAGGCUCAACCUCGGAUCUGCGGUGGGUACGGGCAGACUAGAGUGAUGUAGGGGAGACUGGAAUUCCUGGUGUAGCGGUGAAAUGCGCAGAUAUCAGGAGGAACACCGAUGGCGAAGGCAGGUCUCUGGGCAUUUACUGACGCUGAGGAGCGAAAGCAUGGGGAGCGAACAGGAUUAGAUACCCUGGUAGUCCAUGCCGUAAACGUUGGGCACUAGGUGUGGGGGACAUUCCACGUUUUCCGCGCCGUAGCUAACGCAUUAAGUGCCCCGCCUGGGGAGUACGGCCGCAAGGCUAAAACUCAAAGGAAUUGACGGGGGCCCGCACAAGCGGCGGAGCAUGCGGAUUAAUUCGAUGCAACGCGAAGAACCUUACCAAGGCUUGACAUGUGCCAGAUCGCCUCAGAGAUGGGGUUGCCU